GAUGAACGCUGGCGGCGUGCCUAAUACAUGCAAGUCGAGCGAACAGACGAGGAGCUUGCUCCUCUGACGUUAGCGGCGGACGGGUGAGUAACACGUGGAUAACCUACCUAUAAGACUGGGAUAACUUCGGGAAACCGGAGCUAAUACCGGAUAAUAUAGUGAACCGCAUGGUUCAAUAGUGAAAGACGGUUUUGCUGUCACUUAUAGAUGGAUCCGCGCCGCAUUAGCUAGUUGGUAAGGUAACGGCUUACCAAGGCAACGAUGCGUAGCCGACCUGAGAGGGUGAUCGGCCACACUGGAACUGAGACACGGUCCAGACUCCUACGGGAGGCAGCAGUAGGGAAUCUUCCGCAAAGGGCGAAAGCCUGACGGAGCAACGCCGCGUGAGUGAUGAAGGUCUUCGGAUCGUAAAACUCUGUUAUUAGGGAAGAACAAAUGUGUAAGUAACUAUGCACGUCUUGACGGUACCUAAUCAGAAAGCCACGGCUAACUACGUG
This 497-nucleotide ribosomal RNA is filed under the name uncultured bacterium. RNAcentral describes it as "partial 16S ribosomal RNA". It matches the Rfam family "Bacterial small subunit ribosomal RNA", at positions 28 to 507 of the family's 1533-position model. The record is from RNAcentral.